AACGAACGCUGGCGGCAUGCCUAACACAUGCAAGUCGAACGGGAUCCUAGCUUGCUAGGUGUGAGUGGCGGACGGGUGAGUAACGCGUGGGAACAUACCCUUUGGUACGGAAUAGCCUCGGGAAACUGGGAGUAAUACCGUAUGUGCUCUUCGGAGGAAAGAUUUAUCGCCAAAGGAUUGGCCCGCGUUGGAUUAGGUAGUUGGUGGGGUAAUGGCCUACCAAGCCGACGAUCCAUAGCUGGUUUGAGAGGAUGAUCAGCCACACUGGGACUGAGACACGGCCCAGACUCCUACGGGAGGCAGCAGUGGGGAAUCUUAGACAAUGGGGGAAACCCUGAUCUAGCCAUGCCGCGUGAUCGAUGAAGGCCUUAGGGUUGUAAAGAUCUUUCAGUGGGGAAGAUAAUGACGGUACCCACAGAAGAAGCCCCGGCUAACUCCGUGCCAGCAGCCGCGGU
RNAcentral lists this ribosomal RNA (455 nucleotides) under uncultured bacterium. RNAcentral's name for it is "bacterial SSU rRNA". It matches the Rfam family "Bacterial small subunit ribosomal RNA", at positions 29 to 521 of the family's 1533-position model. The record is from RNAcentral.